AGGACGAACGCUGGCGGCGUGCUUAACACAUGCAAGUCGAGCGGAAAGGCCCUUCGGGGUACUCGAGCGGCGAACGGGUGAGUAACACGUGAGUAAUCUGCCCCUAGCUCUGGGAUAGCUCCGGGAAACCGGGAUUAAUACCAGAUACGACCACUUUAGACAUCUGCUGUGGUGGAAAGAAUUUCGGCUAGGGAUGAGCUCGCGGCCUAUCAGCUAGUUGGUGAGGUAACGGCCCACCAAAGGCGACGACGGGUA
Molecule: ribosomal RNA, 255 nt
Filed under: uncultured bacterium
Lineage: Bacteria
Description: partial small subunit ribosomal RNA
Rfam family: Bacterial small subunit ribosomal RNA
Source: RNAcentral